AGUAACGAGAUCCAAGUGGAUCCUGUUGAUGUGCUCCCUGUCAUGACUUAAGAUGGCAAACUCCACCAGCGAACUCGUAAUCAACGUAAACUAUUGUUUAAUGAUACAAUCUCAGGAUUGUUAUAUCUGUAGUCAUUCUAUGUUACAGUGACAAAGACGUCAAAACUAGCUAAGGGCGAUACUGAUGAAGCAGAAGAGGAUGUUAUUGAAGAUGAAAAUAUAUUGAACAAAUCUCAGAGGAGAGCAAAAGCUAAAAAGAGUAAAAAAAGAGGCGAAAAAACAAGAGAAGGAAUUGCCUAAAGAGAUCAUACAAGAGGAGGAAACACCUCAAGCAGCAGUUUUGGUGAUGCCUGUUUUGAGUCUUUCUGAUUUUUCGUUAAAACUUAUUUUUUAACAUGUGAAUGAUUUUUUUUCUUUUGUCAGGCAGAAUUGAACGAAGGACUAUCUGGUGAAGAGACGUUUGAAAAUAAGAAAAACAAACUCGAGGAGUUGGGAAUGCAACUACUUUCUGAUCCUGAGGCAAACAUAAGAACCAUAAAGGAAAUGUAAUACAAAGAUAGUGAAACUUGGUUUGUUAUCUGUGUUGGCCGUAUUAAAAGAUAUAAUUCCUGGGUAAUUUUAUCAGACCUUUUCCCCAUUUUAUCUGCUAAUCAGUCUCUUAACCCCACUCUAUGAUGUUUGAAUUUACAUCUUUGAUUUUGUUGGUGGUGCCAGCUAUUAGAAUAGACUUCCUACAGAAAAGGAGCUCGAGAUGAAGGUCUCAAAGGCAGUAAAGAUUAGAUGGUGCGAAAUUUGACGUUUUGACAUUGUUUUCCCUCGUUUUGGCAACUCUAUGACCCCGUAACAUCUAAAAUGGGUUCCGGUUCUUACUGUUCCUUUCAUCUAAACUUGAUGACAUUGUUCAGGUUCCUGCUGAUUACAAGGGAGUUACGUAUGAACCAGAUGUUAAAUUUUUUGGUUUUGUUUUUGUGGUAAUUUAUAAAUUAUAAUUGUUGCUUUAUUUAUUUUAUCUUUGUGGCUAACCAUAUUUUUUUACAUUAAGCUGAGUAAAACCUCCUAUCACCAAUAAUUUUACUUGGUUUGUAUUUGUUUUAGUAAUUAGUUAACGCUAUUAAUACCAUAUCUAAAAAUAAAAGUAAAACAUACUUCACAUUUUUUUUAUUAUAAAUACUUCAUCUUGAUAAUCUUAUUACUCAAAAAAACAAAAAAAAACAUAAAAAUGAAUAAUUACAUAGUUUUUCUGUUAGUUAUUGGUAUGUGUUCUUGGUCAAGUGAAGCUUGGAUAAAAGAAAACUGCCCUAUAAAUCGUAUAAUGAUUACUAACCAACUCGGUGGUGGUCAAGUAUUGGGAUACAAGUGCAGUAAUUGGCUAUUUCAAAAUUGGGAAGGCGGUUUAAAAACUUUUAAUCAAAACAGAACUUGGGAAUUCGCCGAUGUUACUAAUAGAAGAGAAAGAACAAGGUACGCAUGUGAUUUAUGGUUUGGAGCUCGAAAAGAAUUUCAUUUUGAUGAGCUUGAAAUAUAUCGAGCUGCUGCAAAUACUAGAUGUAAUCAAAUACGUCAAUGGGCAGCUAGACCUGAUGGGAUUUGGUUCAGAAGAGAUCAUGACAAACCGUUAGGCCUUGUCCGCCCCUGGAAGAAAAGAUAGAUAUAACUUCUUCUUUUCCAUUUCCUAAUAUUGAAAUAAUCAGUAAAGAUCUAAUAAUAAUGUGCUAUAUUGUAUAUAGAAAAAAUAUUAUAAUAAUAGUGUAUAAGUUUAAGUAAUACUUAUACAUGUUGUUGUUUCAAGGUUGUAAACAAUGACACAAUAUACUUAUUUUAUAAUAAUUCUUGUUUUGUAACAGAAAUGUCUACAUCUUUAUGUUUUUCUUUUUAGUAUGCAAAAGAAAACAUGUUUAGAACAUCUAGGUACCAACAAUGGAGUUUCGGGAUGUUUAAUCAACGUUAGGCAUCGCUAUUUGAAUCUUCAAUCCCGACGUUAGGGUUCAUGUUCUUCUUCUAUUUCUGAAACCAAAAGUGUUGUUCUUCCUUCUCUGAUACCAACAACGGAAAUUCGAGAUACCAACUAUGGAGUUUCGAGUUGUUCAAUUGACGUGAACCAUCUCUGUGUAAAUCUUCAAUUCUGAUGUUUUGCCUUCCGUUAAAAUCAUGUUCAUAGUAUUCCUAAACUUCAUACCUUUAAUUAACGUGAUUCUGUUCUUGAAUAAGUGUUAUUAAAUUCAUGUUCAUAUGACUAUUAAACUAAUGUUCAUAGUGUUCUUAAACUCAUAUCUUAAUAAUUUUGUAAUUUGGUUGAGGUCAUGUUACGCUGGAGCAGGAAUCUGUUCUUUUCUAAUAUUAAGCCCUUCGAAGAGAAAGGUCUUGCUGAUGAGUGGGACAAAGUUGGGAUGUAUUUCUCAGGGUUCAAUAAGCUCGAUGAUAAUCGAUCCUCUAUGGAAAUUUUAUUUGAGAUUAGGACAAAGGUAUAGUGAAGCUCGAGAUUGAGAUGAUUUGUUCUUUUAAUUUAUUUCUUGAAUAUACGGCUAUAUUCUUCCUUGAAGUAAUUAUGUUGUUUGUAUGUUUAUUUCAGAAAUGUCAAAAGGUUUAUGAAGAUCUUUGCAAAGAGAUGACUCAGCUUCUGACUCGAGAUCAUUUUAGGGAAAAGAGUAAUUGUCAACUAGAGUGAUACAAAAUCAGCCAGAAAUAUAAUGUAAACUCAGUUGAAGAAACUGAUAGAGGAAUAUGCUUUGUUUGAUGA
This is a long non-coding RNA of Brassica napus (rape), 2737 nucleotides long. RefSeq lists it as uncharacterized. The transcript has 2 exons. NCBI's taxonomy places the organism in Eukaryota, Viridiplantae, Streptophyta, Magnoliopsida, Brassicales, Brassicaceae. The record is from RefSeq and is a predicted model, not a curated record.